Molecule: ribosomal RNA, 841 nt
Filed under: Ruegeria sp.
Lineage: Bacteria; Pseudomonadati; Pseudomonadota; Alphaproteobacteria; Rhodobacterales; Roseobacteraceae
Description: bacterial SSU rRNA
Rfam family: Bacterial small subunit ribosomal RNA
Source: RNAcentral
GCACCUUUCGGGGUGAGCGGCGGACGGGUUAGUAACGCGUGGGAAUAUACCCUUUGGUACGGAAUAGCCUCUGGAAACGGAGAGUAAUACCGUAUGAGCCCUUCGGGGGAAAGAUUUAUCGCCAAAGGAUUAGCCCGCGUUAGAUUAGGUAGUUGGUGGGGUAAUGGCCUACCAAGCCUACGAUCUAUAGCUGGUUUUAGAGGAUGAUCAGCAACACUGGGACUGAGACACGGCCCAGACUCCUACGGGAGGCAGCAGUGGGGAAUCUUGGACAAUGGGCGCAAGCCUGAUCCAGCCAUGCCGCGUGAGUGAUGAAGGCCUUAGGGUCGUAAAGCUCUUUCGCCUGUGAAGAUAAUGACGGUAGCAGGUAAAGAAACCCCGGCUAACUCCGUGCCAGCAGCCGCGGUAAUACGGAGGGGGUUAGCGUUGUUCGGAAUUACUGGGCGUAAAGCGCACGUAGGCGGACUGGAAAGUAUGGGGUGAAAUCCCAGGGCUCAACCCUGGAACUGCCUCAUAAACUAUCAGUCUAGAGUUCGAGAGAGGUGAGUGGAAUUCCGAGUGUAGAGGUGAAAUUCGUAGAUAUUCGGAGGAACACCAGUGGCGAAGGCGGCUCACUGGCUCGAUACUGACGCUGAGGUGCGAAAGUGUGGGGAGCAAACAGGAUUAGAUACCCUGGUAGUCCACACCGUAAACGAUGAAUGCCAGUCGUCGGGUAGCAUGCUAUUCGGUGACACACCUAACGGAUUAAGCAUUCCGCCUGGGGAGUACGGUCGCAAGAUUAAAACUCAAAGGAAUUGACGGGGGCCCGCCCAAGCGGUGGAGCAUGUGGUUUAAUUCGAAG